RNAcentral lists this ribosomal RNA (523 nucleotides) under uncultured Glomus. Its description in RNAcentral is "SSU rRNA". It matches the Rfam family "Eukaryotic small subunit ribosomal RNA", at positions 568 to 1092 of the family's 1831-position model. The record is from RNAcentral. Lineage: Eukaryota; Fungi; Glomeromycota; Glomeromycetes; Glomerales; Glomeraceae.
CAGCAGCCGCGGUAAUUCCAGCUCCAAUAGCGUAUAUUAAAGUUGUUGCAGUUAAAAAGCUCGUAGUUGAAUUUCGGGGUCAGUAGUUUGGUCAUGCCACAGGUAUGUACUGAUCUUACUGAUUCCUCCUUCCUGAUGAACCGUAAUGCCAUUAAUUUGGUGUUGCGGGGAGACUGGACUGUUACUUUGAAAAAAUUAGAGUGUUUAAAGCAGGCUAACGCUUGAAUACAUUAGCAUGGAAUAAUGAAAUAGGACGUUCGAUCCUAUUUUGUUGGUUUCUAGGAUUGACGUAAUGAUUAAUAGGGAUAGUUGGGGGCAUUAGUAUUCAAUUGUCAGAGGUGAAAUUCUUGGAUUUAUUGAAGACUAACUACUGCGAAAGCAUUUGCCAAGGAUGUUUUCAUUAAUCAAGAACGAAAGUUAGGGGAUCGAAGACGAUCAGAUACCGUCGUAGUCUUAACCAUAAACUAUGCCGACUAGGGAUCGGAUGAUGUUAAUUUUAUAAUGACUCAUUCGGCGCCUUACG